This 569-nucleotide ribosomal RNA is filed under the name uncultured bacterium. RNAcentral's name for it is "partial 16S ribosomal RNA". It matches the Rfam family "Bacterial small subunit ribosomal RNA", at positions 355 to 914 of the family's 1533-position model. The record is from RNAcentral.
UAGGGAAUCUUCGGCAAUGGACGAAAGUCUGACCGAGCAACGCCGCGUGAGUGAAGAAGGUUUUCGGAUCGUAAAACUCUGUUGGUAGAGAAGAACGUUGGUGAGAGUGGAAAGCUCAUCAAGUGACGGUAACUACCCAGAAAGGGACGGCUAACUACGUGCCAGCAGCCGCGGUAAUACGUAGGUCCCGAGCGUUGUCCGGAUUUAUUGGGCGUAAAGCGAGCGCAGGUGGUUUAUUAAGUCUGGUGUAAAAGGCAGUGGCUCAACCAUUGUAUGCAUUGGAAACUGGUAGACUUGAGUGCAGGAGAGGAGAGUGGAAUUCCAUGUGUAGCGGUGAAAUGCGUAGAUAUAUGGAGGAACACCGGUGGCGAAAGCGGCUCUCUGGCCUGUAACUGACACUGAGGCUCGAAAGCGUGGGGAGCAAACAGGAUUAGAUACCCUGGUAGUCCACGCCGUAAACGAUGAGUGCUAGAUGUAGGGAGCUAUAAGUUCUCUGUAUCGCAGCUAACGCAAUAAGCACUCCGCCUGGGGAGUACGACCGCAAGGUUGAAACUCUAAAGUGAAUUGAC